Molecule: long non-coding RNA, 1033 nt
Filed under: Phasianus colchicus (ring-necked pheasant)
Lineage: Eukaryota; Metazoa; Chordata; Aves; Galliformes; Phasianidae
Description: lncRNA (ENSPCLG00000003390.1)
Source: RNAcentral
AGGAGUAACACAGUGGAGAAAAAUGGUACAAGCCUCAUCAGCAUAUUAGGGAUAUAUGUGCAAACAUAUGUAACAUAUCUAUCUAUUCCUCUGCUCUCCAGGAGUUUCAAGAGCCUGGAAGAUCUGCUUGCCUUUGACUCUUGCCUUCAAGCAGGCACAGUUAGGACAUCAAGCUGUCCACAGAGGAACAAGCUCUGGUGGUGGGACGCAGUUUUGUUCCUGGUGAGGAGGAUUGCAAGCACUGGGAUGGCAGCAGCUGAAUCAAAUGCAAAGCAAUCAAGAAACUGCAAGAGGAGGCUCUCUUUCCUUGAGUACGGUUCUACCCAAAUUUGGAACAUCAACAGUAACUACACAAGAUUAAAGAGUAAAAAAUCAGACUAAAAUGAGCACUAACAUACACAAAUUUCCUCCCUUGGGAAGGCACUAGGCUUUUAAACAUUGUAAAGUGAUCAGACCAGGGUAAUGUUUCUGUCCUCAAGCCCAGCCUGCUGGAAAGCAGUGCUGCUGGCUCCCUUUGACCUUUCAUCUCUCACAGAGUGCUAGUGUUGUUUGAAAAUACUCUGGUGCAAACACUGAGUGGUUCCUAGGUUCAUCAUCCACUAACACUCUUAAGUCCAGAAAGCUUGUAUUUAUCUUUUUUUUUUUCAUUUUUCUUUUAAUUCCCAACCUAACAAAUGUUCAUUUAUUCUCUUGAAAUACUUCUAGUAUUGUCUGUCUAGUUAGUUACCUUUGAUUUGUAUAAAACCAGAGAUAGUUGGCUUACGUGCUUGUCAAAUUAAUUUUUGGCAUUACAAAAUUAAGUUGUAAAUGUUCAGAUAUUUUUAAUUCUUUAACACUGAUAUAUCUCAGGAUGGAUCCCCAGGAGAACUGAGCAUGGAGCCAUUGUGUCCAGUGCUUGUUCCCAUACCAAGCCCAGGGGCCUUCCUCAGCCUUCUCUUUUUUGCAGCCUUUUGUUUCUGAAGAGGCUCCAAACACUGCUUAGCUGCCCAACAAGCCCCUCUUUCCCACUCCUUGCAGGGUUUCUCAGUGAUUG